RNAcentral lists this transfer RNA (66 nucleotides) under Notocrater youngi. RNAcentral describes it as "tRNA-Pro". The record is from RNAcentral. Lineage: Eukaryota; Metazoa; Mollusca; Gastropoda; Lepetellida; Pseudococculinidae.
CGAAGGAUAGUUUAUUUAAAAUACCGACUUUGGAAGUCGAUGACUAGGAGUACUCCUAUCCUUCGA